GACGACGACGUUGAUAGGCCGGGUGUGUAAGCGCAGCGAUGCGUUGAGCUAACCGGUACUAAUGAACCGUGAGGCUUAACCUUACAACGCCAAAG
Molecule: ribosomal RNA, 95 nt
Filed under: Salmonella enterica
Lineage: Bacteria; Pseudomonadati; Pseudomonadota; Gammaproteobacteria; Enterobacterales; Enterobacteriaceae
Also listed under: 1 other name
Description: partial 23S ribosomal RNA
Rfam family: Bacterial large subunit ribosomal RNA (bases 1-83)
Source: RNAcentral